UACCUACGGGACGCAGCAGUGGGGAAUAUUGCACAAUGGGGGAAACCCUGAUGCAGCGACGCCGCGUGAGUGAAGAAGUAUCUCGGUACGUAAAGCUCUAUCAGCAGGGAAGAAAAAAAGUCUUUGGCUUUGGACGGUACCUGACUAAGAAGCCCCGGCUAACUACGUGCCAGCAGCCGCGGUAAUACGUAGGGGGCAAGCGUUAUCCGGAUUUACUGGGAGUAAAGGGAGCGUAGACGGGAGCGCAAGUCUGGAGUGCAAUGCCGGGGCUCACCCCCGGAACUGCUUGGGA
This 292-nucleotide ribosomal RNA is filed under the name uncultured bacterium. RNAcentral's name for it is "partial 16S ribosomal RNA". It matches the Rfam family "Bacterial small subunit ribosomal RNA", at positions 335 to 630 of the family's 1533-position model. The record is from RNAcentral.